Non-coding RNA from Phrynosoma platyrhinos (Desert horned lizard), 72 nucleotides. The record is from the annotation of a GenBank genome assembly. NCBI's taxonomy places the organism in Eukaryota, Metazoa, Chordata, Lepidosauria, Squamata, Phrynosomatidae.
GCCAGUGUGGUAAAGUGGUUUGAGCAUUAGACUAUGACUCUGGAGACCAGGGUUCCAACCCUUGCUUGGCCA